This is an unclassified non-coding RNA of Pongo abelii (Sumatran orangutan), 117 nucleotides long. It matches the Rfam family "Metazoan signal recognition particle RNA". Rfam says of the family: The signal recognition particle (SRP) is a universally conserved ribonucleoprotein. It is involved in the co-translational targeting of proteins to membranes. The eukaryotic SRP consists of a 300-nucleotide 7S RNA and six proteins: SRPs 72, 68, 54, 19, 14, and 9. The record is from Ensembl. Lineage: Eukaryota; Metazoa; Chordata; Mammalia; Primates; Hominidae.
GCCGGGCGCGGUGGCUCACGUCUGUAAUCCCAGCACUUUGGGAGGCUGAGGUGGGUGGAUCACCUGAGGUCAGGAGUUCGAGACAAGCCUGGCCAACAUGGUGAAACCCCGCCUCUA